RNAcentral lists this ribosomal RNA (119 nucleotides) under Anopheles minimus. The record is from RNAcentral. Lineage: Eukaryota; Metazoa; Arthropoda; Insecta; Diptera; Culicidae.
GUUAACGACCGUAUCAUGUUAAGCACUCCCGUUCUCGUCCAAUCACCGAAGUUAAGCAACAUCGGACAUGGCUAGUACUUAGGUGGGUGACCAUUUGGGAAAACCAUGUGUCGUUGGCA